This 710-nucleotide ribosomal RNA is filed under the name Roseovarius sp. RNAcentral's name for it is "bacterial SSU rRNA". It matches the Rfam family "Bacterial small subunit ribosomal RNA", at positions 43 to 796 of the family's 1533-position model. The record is from RNAcentral. Lineage: Bacteria; Pseudomonadati; Pseudomonadota; Alphaproteobacteria; Rhodobacterales; Roseobacteraceae.
CCAAGGCGCAGCUACACAUGCAGUCGAGCGAGAACUUCGGUUCUAGCGGCGGACGGGUUAGUAACGCGUGGGAACGUGCCCUUCACUACGGAAUAGUCCCGGGAAACUGGGUUUAAUACCGUAUACGCCCUUCGGGGGAAAGAAUUUCGGUGAAGGAUCGGCCCGCGUUAGAUUAGAUAGUUGGUGGGGUAACGGCCUACCAAGUCUACGAUCUAUAGCUGGUUUUAGAGGAUGAUCAGCAACACUGGGACUGAGACACGGCCCAGACUCCUACGGGAGGCAGCAGUGGGGAAUCUUAGACAAUGGGCGCAAGCCUGAUCUAGCCAUGCCGCGUGAGUGAUGAAGGCCUUAGGGUCGUAAAGCUCUUUCGCCAGGGAUGAUAAUGACAGUACCUGGUAAAGAAACCCCGGCUAACUCCGUGCCAGCAGCCGCGGUAAUACGGAGGGGGUUAGCGUUGUUCGGAAUUACUGGGCGUAAAGCGCGCGUAGGCGGAUUGGAAAGUUGGGGGUGAAAUCCCAGGGCUCAACCCUGGAACUGCCUCCAAAACUAUCAGUCUAGAGUUCGAGAGAGGUGAGUGGAACUCCGAGUGUAGAGGUGAAAUUCGUAGAUAUUCGGAAGAACACCAGUGGCGAAGGCGGCUCACUGGCUCGAUACUGACGCUGAGGUGCGAAAGUGUGGGGAGCAAACAGGAUUAGAUACCCUGGUAGUCC